GCACAGUCAUACACUAAAGUCAAGUCUUCCAUCAAGUGUCAAUGGAAGGAUUUGGGCCAAGAUAGCUGCCAACGACCCUGUGUUUCUUGCCUCCAAUGUUGAGAGUCAUUUCAAAAGAGUGAGAAGUGAGAAGUAUGCCCUUGUGGAGCAUGCCUCAAUUACAAACCGCCUAAUGUCUGAAGACUGCCAAUUGGAGCUUCUAGGAGAAAGUGUACUGUGGUUACACGUGGCAUUUGGAUUGCCUCAAAGGUCCCCCCUGAAAGCCGACUUCGAGAACGUAAUGUCGCAGCUCACCGCGAGUGGCAUACUAGACGUAAUCUGGGCGAAAUGGACUGUCAAGAGAAACCUGACAAAUUGUCCACAAAAACGAAUCUUGAAGUCAAUCACAGUGAACCAGAUUGGAGGUGGUUUCAUCGUCGUGUGUGCGGGGACCGUACUCAGUAUCAUUGUGUUGUGUCUGGAGAAACUGAUACAUUUAAGGCAAAACUGAUUUACUUAUGAAUCAGUAUCAUCAUAUGUGUACUACAGAAAAGAAUUGUAUCAUUAUGAAAGUAGCGAACUUCAGACAAAAGUAAUGUUCCUGAUGCAUUAAAAUAACAGAUGAGU
Molecule: long non-coding RNA, 606 nt
Filed under: Haliotis rufescens (red abalone)
Lineage: Eukaryota; Metazoa; Mollusca; Gastropoda; Lepetellida; Haliotidae
Description: uncharacterized LOC125381478
Source: RNAcentral